Molecule: long non-coding RNA, 1789 nt
Organism: Octodon degus (degu)
Lineage: Eukaryota; Metazoa; Chordata; Mammalia; Rodentia; Octodontidae
Exons: 3
Source: RefSeq, a predicted model, not a curated record
UUCUGCCAAAAAAAAAAAAAAAAAAAAAAAAAAAAAAACUCUUAAGUCAAGAUUCUCUGAGCACUAAAUCAGAUUUUCUGUGGUUGGCCCAUAUUCAUUUAGUUAUCAAGAUAAAGGAGAGGGAACACUAAAGAAAGUGGAAAUCUGAGCAGGACCAUUCAAGGACCUUCAAGCACUGUGGUAUCUCUAGGAAGUUCUCUAGCCAAGAAGGAGAUGCCUCAGCUAUAGUCUUUAUGUAGUUACUUGUGUUGGAAACCAGGUGUCCUUAGCUGUGGCCUUGACCUUUGAGGUGUUACCACUUCACCUGCUAUUAUAAGCCUCAGCUUGGACCCGUGACUUAGAAUUUAACUUACUAUGAUUCCAUUGCCCAACUCCAGACAAGAGGCCUAAGCCUUCAACAGACUCACAGGUAAACAUGCAAAGCCCCUUGUUUUAAUAUUAAAUUCCACUUACAGCAGCUUUGUAGUAGUCUCGAGCACUUAUGUUUAUGUAGGUUUUUGUGAUUUCAUUGAUUUCCAAUUUCAUUGCCAUGUGAUCUGAUAAAAAGCAUGGGACAAUUUCACUUUCAUUGCAAUCACAUAAGCAUAUUCAAUGAGUUACUAUGUGUUCUCUGAGAGUGUUCUGUACUCAUGUGAGCCCUUCAAAUGGUCUUCAUUUUUUGUGAUAAAUUUGUAAUUUUAACUAAUAGAACAAUGCCUUAAUGAAUUUUGAUUUUCUAAUAUGUUACAGGAGCUGUCAACUUAGUGUUUACUAGUUAUUGAACAUUGUUAAACAUUUGUUAUACUGAAGUUUUGUUCUGUGACAUAUCAAAAGUUUGAUUUGGAAGAGUCAAAUUUUUUCUUCAAUUUUUCCUUUUAUUAUUUUUCAAUGUAUAGAUAACAAAAUAUUCAGUAUAUAUAUUUAAUCACCUCCAUCCCUCAUUUGUCUCCCAUAUGUCAUGUUGUUUUAUUGAGCUGUAAGAUACUGUUUUCCUUAAUCUAAUUUUAUCAUUUUUAGAUGUUCUCCAGUGAACGCUGUAUUCCACAUUAUCAGUGAUGAACUUUUCUAAGCAUUCAGAUAUGUUUUUGUGUAUGAAACCAGGUUCAGGUUUCAAAAUACUGUCUAAAUAUAAGCACAGAAGAAAGGGAUAAAUUCAGUGAAUAAUACAUUGGGAAAAAGUUAUAUUUUAUGAUCUGUGAGAGUUAUUUAUCAGUUACAAUUCUAUGUGAAUUUCUUGUGUUCUGAUCUUAUAAGGUCCCUGUAUAAACUAUGCUUUAGAAACAAUGUUCAAAAGAAAAUGAGUGUACUGAAAAGAGCACAGUGUUCCUAUUCUACUGUUCCUUUAGCAAAAAAAUGUAGCCUAGCAUCAAAUUUCAUAUAAGAGAUGUGUAUAACAAUAGAGAAUUAGUGUUUGAUGACCAAAACAUGAAGUAAACAUUUAAGAGGAAUCAGGCUCAUUUCAUCUUUUUAGGAAUAGAUGUAAGAUGUUUCAUGUUGUCUCAGUCUUUCUGGAUAUGUAUGUCUGGCAGAAUCUUAUGCUGCUGAACUAUCUCCCCAGCCCUAGAUAAAUACUUCUGGUGAUUUAGGAGGCAGUGUCCUGUAAGGAUGUGGCUGUUAACUUCAUCAAAGAGAAAUAGGCUUUGCUGGAUAAAUCCGCAAAGAAGCUAUACAGAGAUGUGAUGUGGGAGACCUUUAGGAAUGUGGCUAAUAUAGGAAGAAACUCAAAUGGUAAAAAAAGUGAAGAUGAGUACAAAUAUUGCAGGAGAAAUCUAAGAACCGGGGAUUGAACUCAGGUCCUUGUGCUUGCCAC